CCUACGGGUGGCAGCAGUGGGGAAUAUUGCGCAAUGGGCGAAAGCCUGACGCAGCGACGCCGCGUGGGGGAUGAAGGCCUUCGGGUUGUAAACCCCUUUCAGCAGGGACGAAGCGAAAGUGACGGUACCUGCAGAAGAAGCGCCGGCUAACUACGUGCCAGCAGCCGCGGUAACACGUAGGGCGCAAGCGUUGUCCGGAAUUAUUGGGCGUAAAGAGCUCGUAGGCGGUCUGUUGCGUCCGCUGUGAAAACUCGGGGCUUAACCCCGAGCCUGCAGUGGAUACGGGCAGACUAGAGGUAGGUAGGGGAGAAUGGAAUUCCCGGUGUAGCGGUGAAAUGCGCAGAUAUCGGGAGGAACACCGGUGGCGAAGGCGGUUCUCUGGGCCUUACCUGACGCUGAGGAGCGAAAGCGUGGGGAGCGAACAGGAUUAGAUACCCUUG
RNAcentral lists this ribosomal RNA (440 nucleotides) under uncultured bacterium. RNAcentral describes it as "bacterial SSU rRNA". It matches the Rfam family "Bacterial small subunit ribosomal RNA", at positions 338 to 790 of the family's 1533-position model. The record is from RNAcentral.